GCUUCUAUAGCUCAGUCGGCUAGAGCACGCGUUUUGUAAGCGGGAGGUCUUGAGUUCAACUCUCAAUGGAUGCA
This 74-nucleotide transfer RNA is filed under the name Marchantia polymorpha subsp. ruderalis. It matches the Rfam family "tRNA". From Rfam's summary of the family: Transfer RNA (tRNA) molecules are approximately 80 nucleotides in length. Their secondary structure includes four short double-helical elements and three loops (D, anti-codon, and T loops). The record is from Rfam by way of RNAcentral. Lineage: Eukaryota; Viridiplantae; Streptophyta; Marchantiopsida; Marchantiales; Marchantiaceae.